This 513-nucleotide ribosomal RNA is filed under the name uncultured bacterium. RNAcentral describes it as "partial 16S ribosomal RNA". It matches the Rfam family "Bacterial small subunit ribosomal RNA", at positions 28 to 523 of the family's 1533-position model. The record is from RNAcentral.
GAUGAACGCUGGCGGCGUGCCUAAUACAUGCAAGUCGAACGCGCAGCGAGAGGUGCUUGCACCUUUCAAGCGAGUGGCGAACGGGUGAGCAACACGUGGAUAACCUGCCUCAAGGCUGGGGAUAACAUUUGGAAACAGAUGCUAAUACCGAAUAAAACUUAGUAUCGCAUGAUAUAAAGUUAAAAGGCGCUACGGCGUCACCUAGAGAUGGAUCCGCGGUGCAUUAGUUAGUUGGUGGGGUAAAGGCUUACCAAGACAAUGAUGCAUAGCCGAGUUGGAGGACUGAUCGGCCACAUUGGGACUGAGACACGGCCCAAACUCCUACGGGAGGCUGCAGUAGGGAAUCUUCCACAAUGGGCGCAAGCCUGAUGGAGCAACGCCGCGUGUGUGAUGAAGGCUUUCGGGUCGUAAAGCACUGUUGUAUGGGAAGAAAUGCUAAAAUAGGGAAUGAUUUUAGUUUGACGGUACCAUACCAGAAAGGGACGGCUAAAUACGUGCCAGCAGCCGCGGUAA